CCUACUGGAGGCAGCAGUGAGGAAUAUUGGUCAAUGGCCGUAACGCUGAACCAGCGACGUCGCGUGAGGGAAGAAGGAUCUAUGGUUUUAAAACUUCUUUUGUAGGGGAAUAAAGGUAUCCACGUGUGGAAAUUUGCAUGUCCCCUAUGAAUAAGCAUCGGCUAACUCCGUGCCAGCAGCCGAGGUAAUACGGAGGUUGCGAGCGUUAUCCGGAGUUAUUGGGUUUAAAGGGUGCGUAGGUUGCUUUGGAAGGCAGCGGUGAAAGUUUGUGGCUAAACCAUUAAAUUGCCGUUGAAACUGGAAGGCUUGAGUGCUGUAGAGGUAGGCGGAAUGCGUGGUGUAGCGGUGAAAUGCAUAGAUAUUACGCAGAACACCGAUUGCGAAGGCAGCUUACUAAGCCAUAACUGACACUGAAGCACGAAAGCGUGGGGAUCAAACAGGAUUAGAUACCCCAGUAGUC
RNAcentral lists this ribosomal RNA (460 nucleotides) under uncultured bacterium. RNAcentral describes it as "partial 16S ribosomal RNA". It matches the Rfam family "Bacterial small subunit ribosomal RNA", at positions 338 to 795 of the family's 1533-position model. The record is from RNAcentral.